Molecule: ribosomal RNA, 254 nt
Filed under: uncultured bacterium
Lineage: Bacteria
Description: partial 16S ribosomal RNA
Rfam family: Bacterial small subunit ribosomal RNA
Source: RNAcentral
UACGUAGGAGGCAAGCGUUGUCCGGAAUUACUGGGCGUAAAGCGCGUGUAGGUGGUGGGACAAGUCUGCUGUGAAAGCGCCUGGCUUAACCGGGCGAGGUCGGCGGAAACUGUUCGACUCGAGGACGGUAGAGGGGGGUGGAAUUCCCGGUGUAGUGGUGAAAUGCGUAGAGAUCGGGAGGAACACCGGUGGCGAAGGCGGCAUCCUGGACCAACACUGACGCUGAGUGAGCGAAAGCCAGGGGAGCAAACGGG